UUUUUUUCCCAUAAAUAAGUUGAGUCGGCUGUGGUCAAUUUGACAAACUCCAUCCCGACACAGAGCUGAGCAUGAAAAGCAGACAUCACACAGCCUCAAAACAGACGAAGAGGAGGAUGAAGCUCAUCAAACUGUUCUAGAAAAGUCAGAGGACCUGGGGACUAUACGGGCUUCCCAGGCGGUGCUUGUGCUAAAGAACCCGCCUGCCAAUGCAGGAGACCUAAGAGAUGCAGGUUUAACCCUGGGUCAGGAAGAUCCCCUGGAGGAGGACACAGCAACCCACUCCAGCAUUCUUGCCUGGAGAAUCCCACAGACAAAGGAGCCUGGCGGACUACAGUGCAUGGGGUCACAAAGAGUCGGGCAUGACUGAGCAACCCAGCAUGGGGACCACACAUCCACCCUCGUGCGGAGAUCCGUGUAGAAUCGCCGACAACAACGUCCGGUGCCAAGGACAGAGCGUACCAGGGACAAGUCCUAAUUGGGCAGGAAGUAGUCUUAAAAUAUCCUUUAAAUGUGCUAAGUGAGGGGAGGCAUUUGCAACCUCAUCAGAAUGUAGGGGUCAAUCCGUGUGAUGAAAGAGUAUUAAUUUAUAUCUGGGCCCGGGGAGGGGCGCUGAGGACAUAGGAGAAAGAUCUGUGCACAUGGCUUGUUCACACGUGACGUGCACACACACGCCAAGGUGGAGCACACACGAGGCUGACCCACCUAGAGCUGCCGGAGGCCCCUUUGGGCUGGAGCCUGGACACGCAGCCCAGACUGGGCUGUGAGAGCGUCAGACCGUGGGCCUCACCCAGGGCCCCGCUUUCAGGCUUAGAGCGGGGAACCAGCCACUCCAUCAGAGCUUGUUAUUAUAAGACAUCCCAGCCACGUGUCUGCCCAGGGGUGGGUCUGUUUAGAAGGCAUACGUGUAUCCAUUUAUAAACAAACAAAUAAAUCAAUAAAAUUGUGAAAGAGAAUAGGAAGGAAAAAAAAAAAGAAAAUCUUUCCAGAAACUUGACCUCUCCCUGCACAUCCUCCCCUGAAACCCCAUGUUUUCAAUUAUGCCACACUGAAUCCACAGUGAUGCUAAUAUGUUUGCAUUGCUGGCUCUCAUAUUGUGUUUCUUUUUUUUUUCCACUACUCACCCCAGGAUAGCAAAGUCAAAAAUAUACCAUCCCGAGCAACAGGACACAUCUGCGGUGGAUCCACACAGAAGCAAUUAAUUUCCUGGUGGUAUUUUUACACUGGGGGCCUGGUGCAGGCCCCCAUUAUACAAACAAAAACUCCAGACAGCCCUGCUGCCUGAUAAAAAAUAAAUCAGAUUGCAGAAGGGCUGUUUGGCCCAGGACUGCUACAGGCAAUGACUUGUAAUGAGGCGUCCCGACACUAAUUAUGAAGCUUAUUAAAGACAAUUGUCCAACUUGUUCUAAGUGUAACCUAUAAUCACUCGGAAGAAGGCAGACACCCAGAAGCCACCACUGGCGGCCCCUUGCUCUGCAGAGUGGACGAUGAGGCACGGCCGGGGUGUGGCCCGCAUCUCAGAAAUGGGGCCGUUGUUUGAUUGGUUCAUGGAGCUGGGAGAGAUUCGCCACGGCGGUGAAAGAGGGCUGCGCAGAGGGGAGGAGACACACGGCUUUGAUUCCACCUUCUGCUCCACACAUGAGCUGGGAGCCCCAACAAACUGGCAAGGCCGCUGGGUCACCAGGGCUGCAGAGCGACACUGCAGAUGCCUUCGCUUCCCUUUGUACAGCCUGCUGGAAUAAUCCCAAAACCACAGAGGCAAGAGAUGAGAACGGAGGAGCAGGCAGGCGGGCACACGAGAAACCGUGCUUGAUUAUCUGCGAGGCUGGAAAUUUUAAUAACGCGGAGGUCCACCCUGGGCUCCAUCCAUGUCCCCAGGCACCUUGACCUCCUGGACAAGGGCUCUCGGGAGGGGAACCCAUCACCGCCUGCUGCACUCUGGGGCCCAGGUCCACACAACCCCACAGGAAUAGCCAAGCACGGAAAAGGCCGGUUUUGACCAAGCAUUUGCUAAAGGACAGAAAAAAAAAAUUGCCGGCUGCUUUUUUUAAUCUGGCUGUUAUAUGGUUGGUGGUGGUGGUAUUUUUGGAGUUUCUCUUUUCCUUGCCUCAAAUUCAGAUAGCUGUUAUUGACACAUCCUCUCAUAAAUAUUCCGAGAUUCCUAAUGGCUGGAUGUUUGCCCUGGGCCCAGGAGGCCUCAGAAGUUCUCCGGUGUAAGAAAGGGGGCUGGUGGGGCCACAUUUGGCUUUCAGAUGUACUGUGCCCGCAGAGUUAAUGCGUGAUUAAUUUUAUUCAUAAAAAUGUUAAUCACUUCAUUGUGAGAUCUUCUUAGCAUUCAGCACAGCCCGCACCUUUUUUAAUUUCUGGUGCCCACCAUCUCACAGAUGUAUUUAAUAUUUUCAGACACUGCCACAGCGAUUGGAGGACCCGGCAAUUAAGCAUACGUUUAAAAUUCAGUAACAAGCCAGGCACAGCAGCGACAAACAAGCAAGCAGGACAGAGGCAGGGAGGACAGGCUGCAAGUGACCAGCUCGCCUGGCUCCCACCCUUCGCGGCCGCCCCCGCCCUCCCAAGCCCUGGCCAGCCUGAGCCCCUCCCCGAGCAGAGGAACCCCGGCGGCAUCAUCCCAUCGGAAAGGGCAGCUUCAAGUAGAAGGAAUUAAGAAUAAAAGCCCUUCGGUUUAGAAGACAUAAACCAUCUCAGUGUCAUUCCCACCACCGCAGGAGACCCUGGGGACGGUGGGGACCCUGGGGCGGGGGCAGGGCUGCCUGGGUGCGCCGCCCCCACCCCAGCCCCCGAUGCGGCCGAGCCAUUGUGUCCCUGCAUUGAGCCAGUGCUCAGGACGCCGGAUAAAUGGAUUAGGGGAUCAGAGACACCCGCGGCGUCUUCAGAAACCAAACAGCAGCCGCAGAAAGGGCUGCCCUUGCGCCCGCCUGAGGAGGCGGGCAGGAGGUGCUGGUGAGGGCGGGGAGCGGCAGCCCUGAGGCCCAGCAACCCCAGGGACCUCCCUUCCUGGGCUGCCAGCCGCCCGCCCCCCUGCUGCCAGCUCAGGCCCCCCUCCUCCUCUGACCUCCCGCUUAAGGCAGUUCCAGAAUAUUAGGCCACUCCUGGGGCCCUCUGGGUCCUCUGCCCCAGGGUGACUUGCAGGGCCCCUGGGCCUGCUCCUCUACAGAACAUGAGAUAAAUAAAGUGGUGUGAAGGCUGCUGGAUUUUAAAGAUGAAUCUAUGGAUCAUAUUUGUUGACACGUUUUCCUCCACCGAAAAAAGAAACACUUUUUAUUUGAAAAGGAAGUAAAAUACUUCUGGGGUCUCUAAAAGCACUGUGCAGCCAGGUUGGCCAGGCCCUCUGACCCCCGCACUCCCCCCAGGGGGGCCCGUGUUCAGA
Long non-coding RNA from Bos taurus (domestic cattle), 3385 nucleotides. The record is from Ensembl. Lineage: Eukaryota; Metazoa; Chordata; Mammalia; Artiodactyla; Bovidae.